RNAcentral lists this long non-coding RNA (398 nucleotides) under Mytilus galloprovincialis (Mediterranean mussel). Lineage: Eukaryota; Metazoa; Mollusca; Bivalvia; Mytilida; Mytilidae. The record is from RNAcentral.
GGGCUGUGUAUGGUGAGGGACAGACAAAGUGAAUUGUAGGCCAUUCAGGAGAUACUGUUGUAACAGACAGACAGACCAAGACUAUUACAAUGUUCUGGGGCCGUGUAUGGUGAGGGACAGACAAAGUAAAUUGUAGGCCAUUCAGGAGAUACUGUUGUAACAGACAGACAGACCAAGACUAUUACUAUGUUCAGGGGCUGUGUAUGGUGAGGGACAGACAAAGUAAAUUGUAGGCCAUUCAGGAGAUACUGUUGUAACAGACAGACAGACCAAGACUAUUACAAUGUUCUGGGGAUGUGUAUGGUGAGUAGACAAUUAGAAGACAGGUGUUGGUCAUUCAGCAGAUACUGUUGUAACAGACAGACAGACCAAGACUAUUACUAUGUCCCCUAGCUGUG